Molecule: ribosomal RNA, 322 nt
Filed under: uncultured Coriobacteriales bacterium
Lineage: Bacteria; Bacillati; Actinomycetota; Coriobacteriia; Coriobacteriales
Description: partial 16S ribosomal RNA
Source: RNAcentral
GGAGUUUGGGCCGUGUCUCAGUCCCAAUGUGGCCGUUCACCCUCUCAGGCCGGCUACUGAUCGUCGCUUUGGUGGGCCGUUACCCCGCCAACUGGCUAAUCAGACGCGGAUCCAUCUCGCACCGAUAAAUCUUUUACCUCAGCCCCAUGCAGGGCCGUGGUCUUAUGCGGUAUUACCAGCCGUUUCCAGCUGCUAUCCCCCUGUGCGAGGCAGGUUAUCCACGCGUUACUCACCCGUCCGCCACUAAGUUAAAGAUCCAUCCGAAAAUUUCUCUUUAACCCCGUUCGACUUGCAUGUGUUAGGCACGCCGCCAGCGUUCAUC